RNAcentral lists this long non-coding RNA (1181 nucleotides) under Citrus maxima (pomelo). Its description in RNAcentral is "long non-coding RNA (CMAX_LNC000171)". Lineage: Eukaryota; Viridiplantae; Streptophyta; Magnoliopsida; Sapindales; Rutaceae. The record is from RNAcentral.
CCCAAUACAUUAUAAAUUGACAAAAACAAAAAAAAAAUAUAAUAUUUUUUCAUUGUCAAAAUAAUAAUAACAAACCAAAAAUCUCGUGGGUUUGAAAAUGACUAUUUUCCCACAACCAAACAAGGCCAGCACACGGGGUUUCAAUAUCAACAUUUUUAAUAACCAACAAUGCCUCCAAAAUCACCAUUUUUCCAACAACCAAACAAGGCCAACCCAUGCGUGUCAAAGCAGGCAUUCGGCAACAGCAACAAAUACAAUACACCAAAAGCUAGCGAGUCUGCAAUAGGAACAAAUACUCCAAAAAAAAGCUAAAAAAUCAAAAUUUAAUAUUGUUACUGUACUUAGACAAAGAAAUGCAUCUAGAUCUAUAAUAUUUGUUGUGAGAGAAACAAGAAGAAACUAAGAAUCUUUGUGUGGUGGCCGACGGCCGGCAAUGAUUCUGGCUGAAGGACGCUGUUCUAGGGUUGUGACGAACGGCCGGUGGCUAACAGGUGGUUGUGCUAAAGGGUUGACGAUGGUUGUGUGGUGCAUGAGGAGCGGCUGCCAUAUGCGUGUAUGGUGUCAAAGAGGAGUGGUUUCUGGCUGUAGAAAUAGGAUGUGUUGAUCCGAGUGUGAGGGAUGGUGUGCUACUGCUGUGUUUGAGAGAUAAGUGUGUGAGAUUUAGGUUUCCGUUUACUAUAUCUAUGUGUGUGUGUGUGUAUUAAAAUAUUUUUUAUUUUUAAAUGAAAGAACCUAAUGGUUUUUCGGUUCGGUUCAGUUUUGAGCCGAACCAAAUACAAACCAACUGAUUCUUUAAUUUCCAAACCAUUCGAAUUUUACCUUUAAAACUGAAUCGAACUGGAUUGAACAAUAUCGGUUCGGUUCGGUUCGAUAAAAGCCAAACCAAAUGUCCACCCCUACUCUAAACUAUGAAAACAAUAAACAAGAUUAAAAUAAUAAAGGAAAAUGGAAUGUAAUAAUAAAUGUAAGAUUAAAAUUUUCAGUGAGGCAUGAAGUGCACUAUGAUAUUAUUUUAAGUGGUUUUUCUAGUGGUGUUUAGAAGAUUUUCAAGGUUAAAUAGCUAAGCUAGCCUUAGCAUAAGGAUUAAAUCAUAUAUUUGAUAUAAUAUCAUUUUUUUUCUGUUUCAUUAAUCUUAUUUUAGGUUACAGUGUAUAUAAAAUUUAAAUGUAAUUUCCUGGAGG